GGCCGGGCAGCGGCGAUGGUUGUGUCGGCGACGACGGCCGAGAUACCGAAGAAGAAGCGGCAGGAUAAGGCGUUCGUUGACGAGAUGCGGGUUGUCGCGAUGAAGCUGCAUACGAGGGACCAGGCCAGGGAGGGGGAGAAGGAGUCGACGGCGCCGCCGGUGGCGAAGUGGGAGCCGUCCGUGGAGGGGUACCUCAGAUUUCUCGUCGACAGCAAGCUGGUGUACGAGACGCUCGAUAGGAUAAUCCAGACGGCUCCUCAUCCAUGGUAUGCUGAGUUCAGGAAUACAGGCUUGGAAAGGACAGAGAAAUUGGUAAAAGAUUUGGAGUGGUUUAAAG
This 337-nucleotide unclassified non-coding RNA is filed under the name Hevea brasiliensis (rubber tree). The record is from RNAcentral. Lineage: Eukaryota; Viridiplantae; Streptophyta; Magnoliopsida; Malpighiales; Euphorbiaceae.